GCACCUGGAUUUAUGAAGGAUAAAUAAAAGUUAGAGUCGGUUCAGAGAAGGACAAAAAAGAAAUGGAGCAUUGGAAAGGUUGAGAGAGCUGGGUGUAAUCAGUCUGGUGAAGAGAAGUCUGAGCCUGGGUCUACACUGGCCUAUAUCCCAGGAUCUGAUCCCAGAUUAUCUGCUUAUCCCAAAUUAACUGGCAGUGUAGACUCAUAUAAUCCAUUCAAAGCAGAUAAUCUGGGAUCAGAUACUGAGAUAUAGGCCAGUGUAGAUCCAACCUGAGAGGUGAAAUUAUUUUCCUCUAGUUUUCUAAAAAGCUAUCACAGAGAGGAGGGCACAGGUGUGUUAUUUGCUGACCCAGAGGAUGGAGCUGGAUCUAAUGGUUUCAAGGUCUCCAUUGAACAUUAGAAGGAAUGUCUUGAUGAUAAUAGCAGUUUGGCAAAGGAAGCAAUUACCUAGAUAGAUCGUUGGGUUUCUUUCUGUAGACACUUUCCAAAAGAGGCUAGACAGCUAUCUGCUGAAAAUGUGCCAACUGGAAAUCCUGCAUUGAGAAGGAGGAUGGACCCAAUGGGUACAUCUAAACUAUAGAAUGAAUAUAGUUCGACAUCACUUCAACUGCCAUGGUUAUAAUUUUACAAAGCAUGUAGCCUUCUCUGUCUAAGUGUGCUGGUCCAAGCCAUGGCAGUUAGUGAUGUCCAGCUGCAUUAAUUCAACAAUGUAAAUGCAGCAAAUGACCUGUUUUUCCAACUUGUUCAUUCUUUGAUUGUAUAUUCCAAAAUUUGUUUAACUGAAGCAAUUAUCUAUCUUCCAAAUGUUCUUUAAAUAACAAUGCAAGUGCUGAAAGAAUAACAAAAUCAUGUUGUAAUUUCUGGAGUUCUAAACAUGAAUGCUAUGCUAAACCAAGUGGGUAGUAACAGCACCAACCACAAUUAGAUUCCGAGAAAUACUGCAAGAUUUGCUGUCGAAAGUCUGUCUGAGGAGCUAUUCACAUUAGCUCACUCUUUUUUCUUUUAAUUGAGGAAGAAUUUAUAGAACUGCAAUAUUACAGAUAUCUUUUUAUAGUUCCGUGCCUUCAUUUGGUUGGAGGUCUUUCAUUUAUUCUGAAGCACCGUGGACUUUCAGAACCGCUCCACUACACAGUAAGAGAAGCUGCAGCUUUAAGAUAGCUCUAAUUUUUGUAUCUGAUAACCCUAGGCCUGGGUUUUUAUUAAGUUUCUCCCUCCUUUGUUCCUUUAUACUUUGUUAGAAAACUGAGCCUAGCUCAUUUAACUGAGGUGGAAAUUUUUGUAGAUAAAAUUAUAGCUUGCAUCUCCAGUUAUGGGCAGAGUAGAUCGUCUGCUUGAGAAAAUGCAAACGAUAGUCAGAUGAAAUGCAAAUUGUUAAGGAUAGAAAAGAAGAGCAUAAAUAGUUUAAAUGUGAUGCAAUAGUGGAACAUUCAUCAACUAUAAAGCUCAUUUUCAGUUCCUUUGGAAAUUUAAUAUGGGUCAUGACAGUUAACAUUUCUUAAAUGUAUUGUUUUCAGUAUUUCUUAAUUCCUCCCUUCACAUCUAUGUGAACUAAAUGCCAUAAAACAAUUUAGAGGAAUCGCUGGGGAUUUAAGGCCAAUUCUAUUCAAACAGACAAUUGGCAGAAAGAGAACAUAUCCCACUCUCAUAGUCAAGGGUGCCUAAUUCACAGUCAUUGCUUUCUCUUGAUGAAAGUACGCAUAUACAGACAAACAUACCGGUUUAAGGGUCUGCCUACACUGUAGAAUUAAUGCAGUUUGACACCACUUUGACUGACACGACUCAAUGCUAUGGAAUCAAGGGAACUGUAUUUUGCUGAAGCCCCAACACUCUUUGGCAAACUAUCUACACAAAUCAGCUUCUAGACUAGAGAUUAAAAUAUCAUCCACACACACCCAUAAUUUCACUGAUGAAAAUGGGGGCAUGUGUGGCCAAGUAACAUCUAAGUGUGGCCAAGAUUGAUAAAGUUAUUAAUGAGGAAGAACACAUAAGUUAGGAGAGGCAGAAGCAGGUUCCCUUUGCCAAAGCCCCUUGGGAAGGAAAAGGAAGCUGGAGGAAGCAUCUUAAUCAUUUUCUCCUCUUUCGAUUCUACUUCCAAAUGCUCUUCCAGUUGCUUUUAGUUAUGUGAGCCUAGUAGAUCACAUAGGUAAUACGACUCCAACACCGAAUAAGCCCAGGUGAUGUAUAAAGAAAGAUAUAGGCAAACACUUCACUCCUGUUGUAGAUCUUCCUCUAUGAAUCUAAAGUAGGUUGUCGAAGGCUUUUAUGGCCGGAAUCACUGGGUUGUUGUGAGUUUUCUGGGCUGUAUGGCCAUGUUCUAGAAGUAUUCUCUCCUGACGUUUCACUCACAUCUAUGGCAGGCAUCCUCAGAGGUUGUGAGGUAUAUUGGAAACCAAGCAAAGGAGAUUUAUAUAUCUGUGGAAGGUCCAGGGUGGGAGAAAGAACUCUUGUCUGUUGGAGGCCAGUGUGAAUGUUGUUAUUAAGCACUUUGGUUAGCAUUAAUGGCCUUGCCAGCUUCAAGGCCUGGCUUCUUCCUUCCUUUGUUCGCAAGUGUUAGCUGGCCCUGAUUGAAUCAUGCCUGGAAUUCCUCUGUUUUCAGAGUGUUGUUAUUUAUUUACCAUUCUGAUUCUAGAGGUUUUUUUAAUACUGGUAGACAGAUUUUGUUCAUUUUCAUGGUUUCCUCCUUUCUGUUGAAAUUGUCCACAUGCUUGUGGAUUUCAAUGGCUUCUUUGUGUAGUCUGACAUGAUAGUUGUUAGAGUGGUCCAGCAUUUCAGUCUAAAGUGGAUUUACACAUGGCAAAAUAAUGAGAAAGAAAAAGUUGAUGCUCCUGUCCACAUGAUCUGUACUUGAUUAACCUAAUGAAUAGUCUGAACAAUAAAGUUAACUAUGUUGUUAACCAUCAAACUGGAAUAAUAGGCAAGUUACAUAAGCUUCAUGUACAGGAUGUCAUUUUGUUGUUUUUAAAUCUUGAUGAGGAAGAUGCAUAGAAAUGGAAUUAUAUAACCCCUUCCUUUCUUUUUAUCCAUGGUUUAGGAAGGAUAGUAAAGUUAGUAAUUUCAGGGUGGACUAUAGUUACCUUUAUUUGAGGUGUCACAAAAAGUAUGCAAAUGGAUAAUUAUUCACUGCAUUUGAAGAAGCAUUUGUGGUUUUUUCUCACUUACAUGCCAAAAUAAUUUGAUCUAUCAUGGGAAACAAAACAUAUUGACUUGGAGUCCUCGUGGACAACAAGUUAAACAUGAGCCAGCAAUGUGAUGCGUCAGCUAAAAAGGCCAAUGGGAUUUUGGUCUGCAUAAAUAGGAGUAUAGUGUCUAGAUCCUGGGAAGUCAUGCUUCCCCUCUGUUCUGCCUUGGUCAGACCACACCUGGGAUACUGUGUCCAAUUCUGGGCACUGCAAAUGAGGGGAGAUGUUGACAAGCUGGAAAGCGUCCAGAGGAGGACGACUAAAAUGAUCAAGGGUCUGGAGAACAAGCCCUAUGAGGAGCAGCUUAAAGAGCUGGGCAUGUUUAGCCUGCAGAAGAGAAGGCUGAGAGGAGACAUGAUAGCCAUGUAUAAAUAUGUGAGGGGAAGUCAUAGGGAGGAGGGAGAAAGCUUGUUUUCUGUUGCCCUGCAGACUAGGACGAACAAUGGCUUCAAACUACAGGAAAGGAGAUUCCACCUGAACAUCAGGAAGAACUUCCUCACUGUGAGAGCUGUUCGGCAGUGGAAUUCUCUGCCCUGGACUGUGGUGGAGGCUCCUUCUUUGGAGGCUUUUAAGCAGAGGCUGGAUGGCCAUCUUUCGGGGGUGCUUUGAAUGCGAUUUCCUGCUUCUUGGCAGGGGGUUGGACUGGAUGGCCCGUGAGGUUUCUUCCAACUCUAUUAUUCUAUUCUAUGAUUCUAUGUGAUGUGUGAGCUAUUUCUUUCCUUCCUUAGACAGCAAGGUGUCUUGGGACAGCUCUAAGUAAGGUUUAGGUUACAGACUUGACACUAAACUGCAGUCACUUGUUGCAUUGGAGACAGAAGAGUCUGAGAGCAACAGACUCCAUUUAAUUGCUUAAGUGUAGUUUCUCAUUGCAUCCAACCAGCUCAUUGACUCUUCUUAAAUAUAUGUUUUAAUGUAUGAAAGCAUUCUGCUUCCUUCAUAAUAACAGCUUCCUCUGGAAUGGGUAGAAUAAUCCCUUUUGAACAAACAACUAGAGUAAAGUUUCAUUACACAGUCAAUAGCAUCCUGGGUGCUUGGUAAAGCUUUAAUUUCAGCAUCCUUUAAGCCUUUGCUGACAGUCUUGUGCUAGAUUUUAAAUCACACUGACGACCUCUGAGCCAGGAGGUCACAGCUGUUAAUGUCAAAUGCAAGGUGAAUAAAUGAUGGAUGAGCAUGUAUUCAGAUACAUUUCUGCCACAGUGUACUUCUUAUACAUCAAAUAAAAGUGGUGAUUCUCUACUGCAUGACAAUACUUUAAUUGUUGUGACAUAUCCAUUUGUGAAAGCCCAGCGGUUUCAGAAAAUAAAACUGACGUUCUUGAACAUCUCUCUGCAACAUUUCUACAGUCUCCUCUCAAUAUCCAGAUAAAUGCAGAUAAGUUAAUAUCGUUCUUUGGUAGAUCAUGAUUUGGUUCAACUGCAGGCAUGUGGCAAUUUAAAAUAUCAUUUACAGCACUAUCUGGGAAAAGCUUUUCUAGUGUUUUCACUUUAGCCCAACACUUUAAUCUAGGAUGCAUCUAAACUGAAUAAUUAAUGCAGUUUGACACCACUUUAACUGUCAUGGCUCAAUGCUAUGGAAUCCCGAGAGUUGUCUAAAGACCACCACCCUGGCAAAGAAGACUAACAACUAUCUUGUAAAGCUACACCUUCCAUGAUUCCAUAGCAUUGAGCCACAGCAGUUAAAAUGGUGUCAAGCUGCAUUAAUUCUACAGUGGAAAUGCACCCUUAAUUUUUCCCUAAGCUCAAAAAUAACCAUCUAUCAUGUGGCUGGGACUACUUCAGUUACAUUAAGAUCUGCAUUUGGAGAUCAUUAUUAGUACAUUGGCUAUUGUUUAAGUUAUCCUUAAUCACUCAUGUGGAGCUGAUCAGUUGCAGCAUGAAAAAUAGCAAUUAGCAUUUUAAAUCCCCCUUCAAAUGUAUGCCUAACAUCCAUGUUGAUUAUGAGCUGUUUCUGACCACAAACUUUUGUUCUUUUCCCCCACCCCAACUGUGAAAUCUCAAAAUAUUUUCCCUCUUAUUGGAACAGUUUCCAUCUGGACUAUUCAACUGUGAACUCCAGAAGUAAAAUAUUUCAUUGAAAGGGAAUAAAACAACUCCCAAUUUUCUGUACAGUUUCUUAAAAAAAUGACAUCAAUUAAUUUAAUCUUUUGUUGUUGUAUUCUUCUGUAUUAAAUAGGAACCCAUGUGUAUACACGCUGAGCCAAAAGAGCUUGUGGUUGACAACAAUGUUUGGCAUAAGUUUAGAAGGAAUGUCAGGAAAGACAACUGGGUUGCAAGAUCUGAAGAUUGGACAAAGGAUUUUAGUGCAGAAAAGCUUACUUCAACUACUGCAAACAAAUUCAAAGAGCAAAAGUAAUUUGCUUCCAAUUAACAGAUGGGAGAGAUGAGAAGAGCACAACAUUUUGCCUUUCCCAGUAGGCUCAGGCAAAGAACACAGCUGCAUUCUGUCCUAGUUUGGGUGUUUUCCCUCAUUAAUAACUUUUGCUACCUUGACAACCUGAUGUUGCUCAGUCAUGUAUUGCAAUUUUCAUCUAUGAAGUUUUGGAGAAUAGGAAAUAUCAACUGUCCUUCCUCAGUUGUUGUGUGCCUUAAAGUCAUUUCCAUACCCUAAGGUGAGCCUAAGAAUAUUGGUUUAGAAGACGAUUGCUUCGUCUUGGACAGAGAGAGUGUGACCUGUGCAAGGUCACCCAGUAGGUUUCAUAGUGAGUAGGGAUCUGAAGCCUUGUGAGAUACAUUUCUGAGUGGAUAUAUAACCUGGAAGUCAGUACCGGGUUGGGCGGGGGGAGGGAAGCUGAAAUAUUUCCCUAGUAUCAUUAUAGAUACAUAGAAACUAUACACUGAGAAAGAAUUCUUCAUUUAAAGUAGUAUGCAUGAAUGGCUGCUUAAUAUUUUAUUAACAGUUCACAGCGUGUGCAAAUGAACUUCCUACUAGAAGGAGUUAUUAUCCAUGCAUAUAAACUGGGAAUCCAAAGCCUCCAAUUUUCUUUCUCCCCAGCUUUCUUACCAAACAGAUAAAAAUAACAGGAAUGCUCUGGAAUGACAAGAAUACUCUUAUUAACUACCCAUGAUUAGGUUCACCAGAUGUCACACAUUUUCCCACCAUGACAAUCCAUUGUAUAGUCCACUUUUAAAGAUCUUGCACCAUCUUGGAAUGUUACCAAAAUUGCCAUAUCUUGAAAGUGCAAAAAGGAGUUUGCUCUAAACUCAACAGAAGGACAAUCUUGUCUUUCCCGGCAGGCUUAGGCAAAAACAAACAGCUGCACCCUCUCCUAGCUUCUGGUUCUUAUUAAUACCAUUUUGGAUCACACUGAUGUUCCUUGGCCACGUAUGUCCUGAUUCUCAUCUUUGAAAUGUUGGAGGGUAUGAUACUGUUGUUUCUCACAGUAUUGUUUAUUAUAUUAUUAGCACUUUGACAGUUAUCUAUUUGGAGCCCCCCCUCCCUAACUUUGGGUCACAGUUGAUGUUUUGCUUAAUUAGAGACACUUCCAUAUUUCCUGUUGUUUGGACACAAGGGGUUUUCCAGUGGGGACCCUUUCACACUCCAUUACAAUGCUAUGAUCUUUGAUAAAAGUAUUGUGAAUAUUUGUGCAGGCUUAAGUGCAAGGCCCUAUGGUGUUUACAACGCCACCAAAAUGUUUAGAAAAUAUUUUUUAUGAAUGGCAUUGCUUCCCAUUAAAACAAAAACAAAAACGGAGCCUGCUCACUGGCCAAGAAUUGUGGUCUAUCUGUUGAAGGUGAAGAAUUGAAAAUCAAGGAAGUUGGGGAGUUGGACUUCAGUGGGAAGAAUCUUAAAUAGCACCUAUUUACCAAUAUCCUAUAGUACCAAGCAUAACAUAACAAUUCUGCAGACACUACACUAUAGACCUUUUCUCACUGUCCUUAGGACUCACUGCUAUACUCUGGUUUCUCUUCAAAUCAUAUAAAUCUUUCGCCUUUUAAGGACUCACUGCUUCAUUGCAUUAGUCACUCUCCAUCCUAAGAGAUCUAUGUAGGAUGGUAGAUGAUAGGGUGACUUGGAGGUCUUCCUUUCCUAUGGUUGUCAUCCAGUGAGCAGCUGAUCAGAGAAAUAUUUGGCUAUGUCCCUGUAACCAGGCACAGAAAGAGGAAAUUGUCCACUGAAAUCCACUAGGGUUCUGAGAAGGUUUCAAGGUAUAAGGGCAUUGUUUUUGUAUGGAAGGCUGAAAUACCCUAAAGUCACUAUGCUCUGUCUGAUCUUGGGAGAUACGCAGGGUCAGUCCUGAUUAGUACUUGGGUGGGAGACCAAUGAAUACCAAAUUUCAGAGAAAGGAACUGGCAAAACGACCUCUGAUUAUUCCUUUCCUAAGAAAACCCUAUGAACUCCAUGAAGUCACCUGGUGAUGUGAAGGCACACACAUACAGAUACGAAUGUCAAAUGCUUCUUUGAUCUACUCCCUACUCUCCACUAGUCACUGACAGGUUAUGCAGAAAAGACCAUCACAACAAUAUUGUGAUUCCUGGGUGAGCUUUGUUAGUUGCAAAGUGAAACGCAUAGACAGGCAAGCCCUAAGCUGGAUGGUUGAUGGCAAGGUGACUUCUGACUUAUGGCAAGGCAACCCUAUGAAUGAGAGAUAUCCAAGUUGAAUUCAACUUGAUGACAGGUAACAAAGAAUUGGAUCCUGGUGAUGGUUUUUCCUCAAUGUAGAAAGGUGCUCAAAUGUCUUUUGGACUGAAACUUGAAUAUCCUUUCUUUAUUACCCCCCAGGCCUUAGAGGCUGAAUUGCUAAUGCUAAAACCCCAUUCACAGCCAGAUGUCAUUGUGCGUUGGCUCAUUUGACAUCUCUUACAUGCAUCUCAGUCCCACAUUUUCCCUUGCUUGCAUCUUUCAGCAAAAUUUAGGCCAAGUUCUCUUUCUCUGCCAUCGGCAAUAUUCCCCUUUUAGCUGCAAGGCUCUUGUCCAAUUAAUUACAGAGUUCUUGUCAGCAUCAUGAGCCUGUGCCUUUGGUCCUGUACAAAUAGCUUUAGUGGUCAUAUUUCUCCCUCAUCUGAUCUGUACAGAAUCAAGAUGGCAAUGUUUUUUUUAAUGGUGUCAGAUUUGAAGUCUUUCAAAGGGAGAAAGCCUACAGGGCCACUGGGAUUUCAUUUGGAUAGGAAGCAACAAAUUUAGAUUCUUCUCCAAUAGAAAUCAUGCAUUUUCAAAUAGAUUUGCAGACUGUCAAAUGCCUUCCCCUCCUUUUGAGAUUUGUUUUCAAUACAGUUACAAACAAGAUAGAUUCUGUAGGUUUAUUCUUAAAUUGAAUUUGUAUAUAAGUAAGCAAUUUGUAUGUAUGAAUGUGUAUGUAAGUAAAGGCCAGGCUGUGGCGCAGGCUGGAAAGCAAGCCAGCUGCAACAAAUCACUCUGACCAAGAGGUCAUGAGUUCGAGGCCAGCCGUGCCUGCAUCUUGUCUCUGUCUCUGUUCUAUGUUAUGGCAUUGAAUGUUUGCCUUUAUGUGUGCAAUGUGAUCCGCCCUGAGUCCCCUUCGGGGUGAGAAGGGCAGAAUAUAAAUGCUGCAAAUAAAUAAAUAAAUAAAUAAAUAAAUAAGCACAUGUACAUUUUUAAGUAUAACUCCAGUCAAAUACACACACACACACACACACAUGCUUUGGGUAGCAUA
Long non-coding RNA from Anolis carolinensis (green anole), 8786 nucleotides. RefSeq lists it as uncharacterized. Lineage: Eukaryota; Metazoa; Chordata; Lepidosauria; Squamata; Anolidae. The record is from RefSeq and is a predicted model, not a curated record. The transcript has 3 exons.